CCCUCUGCCCCUCCGCCCCUCCGCCUGUCCGCCUCUCUCCUUCUCCCUUGUUCCCUCUCUCCCUCCCUGCUCCCCCACCUCCCUCCCGAGUCGUAGACUCCCUUCCCCCCGGCGCUGGGAGUCUCCUUCCCGCCCCGCCGCGCAGGUGCGGCGACGGCCGCGUCACUGGAGAGUGUGUCGAGUCACAGGCGGUCUUCCGCGCGGAGCGUCCCCGGCGGACGCUGCGCAGAUGGCUGCGACUGUAGGAUUCUUGCCGGCUAGUCUUCGUCGGUUCCGCCUGCGUCAGGUUACUCGUGAAAACUCGAAUAAGUGCUAUCGAUGUGAAAUCCGAGGAAAAGAGCAUUUGGGGGAAAAGUAAGGAAAACUCAAAACUCGGAUUGAGAAGUCUGCCUUGGCUCAUUAAUCAAGAAUUGCGCUUGCGCGCCUAAAUGUGACUGCCUUUAUCCUGCGAUGUCGGUAUUGAAGUAAGAGCAAUACUGGCGGCGUACCUAGCAUUUAGCGACCAUCAGUAUCAGUAGCAGGCCUCUAGCAAAGAACCAGUUAGUGAGCUUUGUACCAUAUCGAAAAUUAUAAGCCGUCCAAAAAAGUGUGAGAGUAAGGAAAAUGGCAGAUUAGAAUCAAAAUAUUUUUAUACCUGUGUCAUACAAGGGUACUUUGAAAAUAGAAAACCAGGUGGAAAUACCACAAAACUUAUUGUAUAUGUUGACACCGAAGAUGGUUUACAAUAGGGAAGAACAGGUGCAAUCAUGCUUGUUCUGUUUCAUGCCAAAUUCCGAAGAUUCACAGUAAGAAUUUAAUCAGAGGUCUUUAUAUUGGAAAAUAUUGCCUAACUGUAGCCUGCUUCAGGCUUGGUUAAUAUAGUUGUGAAACUAGACAUUAAGGCCCUGUAAUACAGACAAAACUUUAAAGAAAUAGGUCAUUUAAAAUGUCCCGUAGAAAAAUGAACAAAAUUCUGUUACUUCAGUUUGCUAAAUAGUGUUUUGUUUUUUUACCAAGUUACAAACACGAUUACACUAAUAUAUUCACACGUCGAUUAUGGUAGUCUUAAGAAGAGCAGUUUAGAGGAGACAGGAGCUUGAGUAAAAGGGAACUUAAGACCAAGUUGACUCGUAGGAAGAUACGGAAGAUAAAAGAGAAUUGAGGUAAUUAAUCUAUCAGUCAUGCUAGAGACAGGAAUGAUUUUUCCAAUAGGAGGUGAAGGUACACAGAUGUUUGUCUUUACUGGGAAUAAUGCCACAGUGGAAGACAAAGGUAAUAUAGAAAAUAAAAUAUUAAGAAGGAAUUAAGUAUUAAGAAGGAUCGUGGAUUUGAGGUGGAGUGGAGGAAAUUUGGAAUUAAUCUUUGUGCUAAGAAACUAACAGGACGAAUGAAGAUUGCUGAAUAGUACCAGCGAAGUGAUUAUUCCAAAGUAGACAAGAAAAAAAUAUUGGUAAAUUUAAAACUUGACAGAUUACUUUGAAUUGUCUAUAACAUUUUCUUCUUUCUGUUAAUAUUAGGUCUUGAAAAAUUGAAUAUUACAAAAUAAGAUGUCUGAGAGAACAUAGUGCUAUUAGUCCAUAUAAAUUACAUGUCAUAAUAUUAGACUUCCAAAAGCACCAUGACUCUGUAUUUUUAAAAUACCUCUUGAAUGAUAGAUGCAUGAAAUGAAAUACUAGGUUUUUAUACCAAGAUAUUCAACGCUUAUUUCCUUCUUUUGCCACUGGUUAAAAAAUGUAUGUAAUAUGCUCUUUUAUAAGAUUUCAAUUGAAAGUGGCCAACUUUAAAUUUAUUUUAUAGCAUAACUAAAAGUUCUAUAAUAAUACCAUGUUCCUUUUUAACAUUUUAAAAUAUUUUCAGAAGUCUGUGGAAGAUUUUUUUGCAGUGAAUCAUGCCACUAAUCAUUGGAUUAGUGGGUGCUAUUGUAAUGGGCUUUAAAAUUUCAUAUAAAGAUUUAGUCUAAGGCCUCAAUUGCCAACUACAUGGUUUUACAAAUAUGUUAGAUCUGAGAAUGGAAGCUGAGUGAUGGGGAUGAAAGAGAAAAAGCACAGGAUAAGGAGUGAUUGUUUAUUUAGCAACCUCUGUGUGCCUGGAACUCAAUAUAUUACACUUUAUCCUUAGUUCUCAAAACGGGGUUUUGGAAAUAGAUGUUAAUAGCUACAUUUUAUAGAUAAGGUAUUGAAGCCAAAGGAGGUUAAAAAAAAUAAUCAAGUCUGACUCUAGAGUCUCUAUUAUUUCCAUCAUACUAUUAGAUGAAAAGUGUGUGUAUGUGUUUAUGUUUGUGAUAAGCAAAGAGAAAAGGCAGUUCCAAAAGCAGUGGUUAGAGUUGGCCAACUGCAAUAACAUUAUUGUGAGGUUAGUUUUCUCUUAGGAAAUUUAUAUCACCUAAUAGAAUCAAAAGCAAACUGAUUGUAUAGAUUAGAGAGGACUGUGAUAAAUAAACCAUCAUAUGAAGUAAUUACAAAUAAUCCCUGACUUUAUGAAAUUUAUAUUCAUAUGUUUUUUAAGUUGUAAAGAAAAAAAGACUGUAAAGAAACACACCAACCACUUUGAUAUGGUUUUUGUUUUAAUGACUUAAAAUGGACAUCAAGCUAAUCUUACGACACUAUUUCAUUUAAUUUUUUUCACAGUGCAAAGUGAAAGCAAGUUUAUUAAGAAAGUAAAGGAAUAAAAGACAAUUAAAAAUUAAAAAUAUACCAUUGGCUACUUCAUAGGCAGAGCAGCCUCACUACCCUAUUUUAAAUCUUCCAGUGCUUCUCCUCUUAAAAUUCAAAUGGCUACUGUUGACUUUAAGGCCCUCCAUCAAGUUGCUCUUGUGUCUUUUCCUACUGUUCUCAUUUAUUAUAUGUUUACAGCCUUUUUCUGUUCUCUAGAAUCUAAGCUUCAUGAGGUCAAAAAGAACCCCUUAAUUUUAUUAGUUACUUCUAUAUCUAGCAGUUAGAACACUAGGGUAAACAAUCUAUCAAUUUUUUUUGUCUGUGAGAUGAAGUCUCUCACUCUGUUGCCCAGGCUGGAGUGCAGUGGUGUGAUCUCAGCUCACUGCAGUCUCAGCUCACUGCAAUCUCCACUUCCUGGGUUCAAGCAAUUCUUCUUCCUCAGCCUCCUGAGUAGCUGGGAUUAUAGGCACCCACCACCACACCUGGCUAAUUUUUGUAUUUUUAGUAGAGAUGGGGUUUCACCAUGUUGGCCAGGCUGGUCUUGAACUCCUGACACAAAUGAUCCUCCCAUCUCAGCAUCCCAAGGUGCUGGGAUUACGUGAGCCACCAUGCCCAGUUCAAUCUAACUAUUUUUUGAAUGAAUGAACUUUUAAAAAAUGAAAUGAAAAACAUGGUUUAGAAAAAGUCGUAAGGAGUCUACACAGUAAUUUCUAGAACUAAAAAACAAACUCAGCAGGGUUUCAGAAUAUAAGAUAAUAGACAAAAAUCAGUUGUACUUUUAUGUACUAGCAAUGAACACAUGGAAACCAAAAUUAAAAAUAUACCAUUGAUAAUUGCUCAAAAUAAAAACUAUGUAGGUGUAAAUCUGACAGUGGAUGUACAGGACUCAUGCUGAAAACAACAAAACACUGAUGAAAGAAAUCGAAGAUCUAAAUAAAUGACCAUAUACAUGGAUUGGAGGACUCACCAUAGUGUAGAUGUUAAUGAUCUCUAAAUCGAUAUGCAGGUUUAAUACAAUUCCUAUUAAAACUCCAGGCAGGUUUUUUUUUUCUUCUUCAUAUACAGGCAAGAUUAUUCUAAAAUGUAUUUGGAAAAACAAAUCAGAGUAGCUUCAACAAUUCUGAAAAGGAGGAAUUAAGUGAGAGGGAUCAUUUUACCUGUGUUUGUUCUUAUGCUGCUAAUAAAGACGUAUCUGAGACUGGGUAAUUUAUAAAGGAAAGGUUUAUAAACACAGUUCAGCAUGGCUGGGGAGGCCUCAGGAAACUUAAAAUCAUGGUGGAAGGGGAAGCAAACAUAUCCUUUCACAUGGCAGCAGGAAGGAGAAGAACGAGAGCUGAGCUAAGGGGGAACCCUGUUAUAAAAUCAUCAGAUCUCGUGAGAACUUAUAUCACGAGAACAGGAAGGGGGAACCUGCCCCCAUGAUUCAAUUAUAUCCACCUGUUUCUUCCUUCAACACGUGGGGAUUAUGGGCAUUGCAAUUCAAGAUAAGAUUUGGGUAGGGACAGAGCCAAACCAUAUCACUACCCAAAAAUAAUACUCAUUGUAUGCCAGGGUAAUUAAGACAGUAUGGUAAUGGCAGAGAGACACAUAGAUCAGUGAAAUGGGCAACAAUAACCUAGACCCACACAAAUACACCAAACUGAUUUUUGACAGAGAUUCAAAAGCCAUUCAGUGAAGGAAGGAUGGUGUUUUCAACAAAUGGUGCUGGAGUAACUGGAUGUUCAUAGGCAAAAAAGAAAUGAGAAAAUUCUAUAACUGGGAGAAAACAACAGUACCACUGGACUGUACUGCUACAGGGUUUCACAGAAGCCCCAAACUUAUUUGGUCAAAUCUUAGUCCUGGAGGAAUUCCAACCUUCCAGGGGAACCCAGUUGUUACAAUAUGUAGAUGAACUUUUAAUAUCUGGCAAAAGGAAGGCCGAGUGAUCAGAAACCACCAUAAUCUUGCCUUAUUUUCUUUGAGAAAGGGGAUUGCGAGUCUCUAAGAACAAAUUGCAGUUUGUAGAAAAAGAAGUUAAAUAUUUAGGACACCUGAUUGGUGAAGGGAAGUGGAUAAUAAACUCAGAAUAUUGGGAAUAGUGGGUUUGCCUUUGCCUAAGACAAAGAGAAAACUCCAAAAAUUUUUAGGUUUAACUGGCUACAGUAGGUUAUGGAUUGACUCAUAUGCUUAAAAGACAAAAUUCUGUAUCUCAAGUUACUAGAAGAGGAGCCCAAUCCCUUGUAAUGGUCCCUAGAUGAAAUUAAGGCAGUGAAAGAGCUAAAGCAGGCCCUCAUUACAGUCCUGGUCCUGGCCCUCCCAUCUUUAGAGAAACCAUUCUAUCUGUUUGUAACAGUAGACCGGGGCAUGGCCCUUGGGGUGCUCACUCAAACCUGGGGAGGGAAGAGGCAACCUGUUGCUUUUGUCUCCAAGCUUCUCGAUCCUGUCUCUCAGGGGUGAUCUGAAUGUGUGCAAGCAGUAGCUGCGACAGCCCUGCUGGUAGAGGAGAGUCGAAAGCUAAUGUUUGGUGGGGCCCUAAUAGUAAACACCCCACACCAGGUCAGGAAUAUAUUAAAUCAGAAAGCUGGGAGAUGGUUAGUGGAUUCUCAGAUUCUAAAAUAUGAAGCCAUAUUACUAGAAAAAGAUUAUUUGGUUGUAACACCAGAUACUUGCCUGAAUCCAGCCAGUGUCCUAUGGAAAGGAGACCAGAACAAAGAGACAUCAGAUCAUAACUGCUUAGAUACCAUAGAAUACCAAGCCAAAGUUAGACCAGACCUUAGGGAAGCUCCACUACGUGAUGGAUUAGACUGUUUGUGGAUGGGUCAUCCGGAGUGAUAGAUGGCAAGGGACUUAAUGGUUAUGCUGUCUUUGAUGGAAAUAAACACUCAUUAUGUGAGAAAGGUAGAUUACCUAAUGGCUGGUCGGCCCAAAAAUGUGAAUUACAUGCUCUUGACCAGGCCCUAAAGCUCCUUGAAGGCCAGGAAGGAAAUAUAUAUACUGAUUCUAAAUGUGCCUAUGGGGUGGUACACACUUUUGGAAAAAUCUGGACAGAGCGGGGCCUAAUAAAUAGCAAGGGAAAAGAAUUGGUACACGGGGAACUGGUCAAACAGGUUUUAGAAAGUCUCCUGCUUCCAGCAGAGGUAGCCAUAGUUCAUGUAAAUGAUCAUCAGAACGGGAACACUAUAGAAGCUGUAGGAAACAGGUUUGUGGAUGAAGCUGCUAGGCAAGCCUCCCUGGAGGAAGAAAUUAGACUAUUUAGCCUGAUACCAGACAUCCCUAAGGUGGUAUUAAGGCCUCAGUUUACCAGAGAGAAGAAGGAAGAAUUAGGCAGGAUAGGGGUCACUCAAACUGAAGAUGGGAAAUGGGUACUUUCUGAUGGGAGAGAAAUGAUAAGUAAACCCCUGAUGAGAGAACUGAUGUCUGUAUUACUCCCCAAAGGGAGUCACUGGGGACCCCAGAGUCCGUGUGAUGCAAUAUUUAAGAAUUAUGGAUAGAUAGGGAUUUAUACCCUCGCUAAACAAGUAUGUGGAAGUUGUGUAACUUGUCAAAGGAUAAACAAAGAGGUGAUUAGAAAACAGUUCAUGGGAGGAAGACCUCCUGGACUAAGACCAUUUCAGAGCAUUCAAGUAGAUUUCACAUAAAUACCCAAAGUAGGAAGACUGAAGUAUUUACUGGUGAUUAUAGGUUACCUUUCCAGCUGGGUGGAAGCCUUUCCCCUUCCAACAGCCACUGCCAGGAAUGUAGUCAAAAUAAUAUUAUAACAGACUGUACCUAGAUUUGGCCUGGUGAAAAACGUUGAUUCAGACAAUGGCAGCCAAUUUACCUCCCGGGUGUUAAGGGGAAUUAUGGAAGGUUUACAAAUUAGAUGGGAUUAUUACACCCCUUGGCAUCCCCCUUCCUCUGGAAAGGUAGAAGGAAUGACUGAAACUCUCAAAAAGCAUUUCACCAAACUAAUAAACUAAAAUGCCUUGGACAAAAUGUCUCCCAAUAGCACUCCUUAGGAAGUCCCAAGAAAAGACUUGGGAUUGUCCCCCUAUGAGUUAUUAUAUGGGCUCCUGUAUUUGGGCAGAGCUACAGAUCUUCCUACUAUGGAAACCAAGGAUCAGUUCUUAAGAAAUUAUAUACAGUCAUUAUCCUCCACCCUGUCAUCCCUUAGGUUAAAAGGACUUCUGACUCAAACUCCUCCUCUUGAGUUUGCAGUUUGCCACUUCCAGCCUGGCGACUAGGUGCUGAUUAAGACUUGGAAAGAAGACAAGCUCCACCCAAGCUGAGAAGGUCCCUGUCAAGUGCUGCUGACCCCUGAGAUGGCCAUAUGUACAGCUGAAUGGGGGUGGACUCACUAUACUUGUCAAGGGACUGGUAAAAGAGACCCUGGAAGGGUGGGAAAAAGACCAGUGGAAAGUACAUGGGUCACCUGAGGAACCCUUAAAAUUAACUCUGAGAUGAAUCUAAAAAGAAAACAUGGGCUGGUCCCAUUUCUGGAAAUUAAUAUGGCUGGGAUGGGCUACUAUGCAAAGAGAAGAAGGUCAAAGUAGAAACUAUCAGGGGACUCCUCCCUACCCACUCAGGUUGGUAAUUAAUGUAAACAAGAUGGUGGCACCCAAGACUAUAAGAUUUGAUGACUGCCAAGGUUUUUACCUUGUAAGAAUUUGGAAAAUCAGAGACAGCUCUCACAUGUGGAUAAAUAUCCACUUCAUAUGAGGUGCUUGGAAUAGUCAAAUUAGAGGUUUCUAGGGGCUAGGGAGAAAAUAAAUGGGGAGUUAUUGUUUAAUAGGUACAGAGUUUCUCUUUCAAAGAAUGAAAAGUUCUGUAAAUGGAUAGUGGUGAUGAUUGCACAACAGUGUGUACUUAAUGCCACCGAACUGUACACUUAAGAAUGGUAAAUUUUAGGUUAUAUUUUACCACAAUAAAAAAUUAAAAUCAACAGUAAAGAAAUCAAUCCAAUUAAAAAUGGGCAAAAGAUUUCAAGACACAUUUCAAUGAAGAGGAUUUACAUAUGGCAAACAAAUGGAAAGUUGUUUAACAUUUCUAGCUAAUAGGGAAAUGCAAAUUAAGACCAUGAGAUAUUAUAACACAUUUAUUAGAGAACCACUAAAAUAAAAAAUGGUGACAACAUUAAUGCUGGCAAAGAUGCAGACAAACUGAUUUCUCAUACAUUGCAAGUGGAAAUGCAAAAUGGUUUAACCACUCUGGAGAAUUGUUUGGAAGUUUCUUAAAAAUUAAACAUGCAGCUAUCAUAUGAUCAAACUGUUGAACUACUAGGUAUUUAUUCCAGAGAAAUGAAAACUUAUGUUCACACAAAUACAUAUACACAAAUGUCCAAAGCAGCUUUAUCUGCAAUAGCCAACAACCAAAAACAAUCAAAAUUGUCAUCAGUAGGUGAAUGGCUAAACAAACUAUGGUCAUCAGUAUGCUGAAUGGCUAAACAAACUGUGGUACAUUCUUACUGUGGAAUAUUACUUAGCAAUAAAAAGAAAGAAACUAUUGAUGGACACAACUUGGAUGGAUUUCAAGGGCAUUUUUAUGCCAAGUGAAGAAAACUAAUCUCAAAAGUCACAUACUAUGUGAUUCCAUUUGUACGACAUUCUCAAUAUGAGGAAAUUUUAGAGAUGAAGAACAGAUUAGUGGUUGCCAAGGGCUAGGUAUAGAUGGGAGAGGCAGAGGGAUGAGUAGAACUUUUAAUAAAGGGGUAGAAUGAGGGUAAUUCUUGUGGUGAUAGAAUAGUUCUGUACCUUGAUUGCGACUGUUGCAUGACUCCAUGUGUGGUAAAGUGGCAUGGAAUUAUACAUAUGUUGUAUCAAUAUCAAUUUCCUGAUUGUGAUAUUAUGCUAUAGUUAUGUAAGAGGUAACAUUGAGGUAUAACUGAGUGAAGAGUACAGAGGAUUUCUCUGUAUUAUCUUUGCAACUUCGUGUGACUGUAUAAUGAUUUCAAAAUUAAAAAGUUUAAAACAUUUAAGUCUUUAAUCCAUCUUGAAUUAAUUUUUGUAUAAGGUGUAAGGAAGGGAUCCAGUUUCAACUUUCUCCAUAUGGCUAGCCAGUUUUCCCAGCACCAUUUAUUAAAUAGGGAAUCCUUUCUCCAUUUCUUGUUUUUGUCAGGUUUGUCAAAGAUCAGAUAAUUGUAGAUAUGUGGCAUUAUUUCUGAGGACUCUGUUCUGUUUCAUUGGUCUAUAUCUCUGUUUUGGUACCAGUACCAUGCUGUUUUGGUUACUGUAGCCUUGUAGUAUAGUUUGAAGUCAGGUAGCAUGAUGCCUCCAGCUUUGUUGUUUUGGCUUAGGAUUGACUUGGCAAUGCAGGCUCUUUUUUGCACCAAAAGCAGUCCUAAAAGGGACAUUUACAGCAAGAAAUGCUUAUGGCAAAAAAGAGAAAAGAUCUUAAAUAAACAUUCUAAUUGAAAAAAAAGUUUAAAACACAACACCCCUUAAAAAACCAACCCUGGCCAUAAGUGGCCUGUACUUUCAAUUAGGUGACUUUAGUCUGCCCUGUUUGAUCUUCCCCACCGAAACAAACCCCAAACUCCAUAAUAUUUAGAAACUAAGAGAUUGGAACUUCCGACAUCAUGUUUUUUAUUUAUUUAUUUAUUUUUGAGACAGAGACCCGCUCUGUUGCCCAGGCUGGAAUGAAGUGGCAUGAUCUCAGUUCACUGCAAUCUCCGCCUCCUGGGUUCAGGAAAUUCUCCUGCCUCAGCCUCCCAAGUAGCUGAGAUUACAGGCGUGCACCACAAUGCCUGGCUAAUUUUUGUAUUUUUAGUAGAGACAGGGUUUCAACAGGCUGGUCUUGAACUUGGCCAGGCUGGCCUUGGAAAUUCUGGCCUCAGGUGAUCCGCCUGCCUCAGCCUCCCAAAAUGUUGGGAUUACAGGUGUGAGCCACUGUGCCCAGCCAGGAUUAUGUUUUAAGAGGCAAAUGGAUUCAUGACUAUGCAUAGACAGUGGCCUAUGCAGCCUAUGAGGCCUACUACACAUUAAUUCUUGCUCUUAUCUAACUAGAUGUAAAUGGGAAACAAGUUAUUAAUAAAUCAUUGUUGCUAGAAAUAAGGGUUUUAGUUCUAGUAUUUAUUAAAUACGAUUAAAAUGUAGGGAUUAUAUAUAUAUCUAUUUGAAUUCUGUGUAAUAAGGAUUCCAACAUGGGCCCUCUAUCAGUUGGAAUUGCUGUGACAGAUUCUUUAUGAAAAAUAAUCUAGAGAGUAAUUGUCUCAGUCAGCUUGGGCUGCCAUAACAAAAUACCAUAGACUGGGUGGCUUAAACAGCAGAAAUUUAUCUUCUAACAGUUCUGGAGGCUGGAAGUCCAAGAUCAAGAUGCCAGUAGCGUUAGUUUCUGGUGAGUGCUCUCUUCCUAAAUUGCAGAUAGCUGUCUUCUUGCUGUGUUUUCACGUGGCCUUUCCUCUGUGCAUGACAGGAGAGAGAAGGAUCUCUGGUUUCUCUUUUUAUAAGAACAUGGGUUCUAUUGGAUUAGGCCCCACCUUUAUGACCUCAUUUAACCUCAGUUACCUCCUUAAAGGUUCUAUCUUCAAAUGCCCAUUGAGGCUUAGGGCUUCUACAUAUACAUUUUUUUGGGGGGGAAGGAGGAAAAAAUUCAGUCCAUAACAGAAACCAAUUUUUUCUCUGUGGAUUGCAUUAUUGCUAUUACCUAAUAGACAUAAAGCUAGUUUUUCUCAAUGAGACACCUAAAAUUGAGUGACUUUUUUGAGUUGUUGCCAGAUCUAUUAAUUAAAAUUUUAAUUGGGGUAGGGCACAGAAAUCUGUGUUGUUAGUAGACCCCAAUUGAUUCUUCUGCAUUACCACGUUUGAGUACAUUAAUCUAAGCAAACCCUCUCCCCACAUUAAAUUGCGGUUGAGAAACUAGAUGGGGAAAAGUUAGGCGUCUUAUUGACACAGCUAUAACUUUACUAGGUUAUGAAUUUCUCAGUGUAUAGUGGAUUGCACUAAAGACUUUGGAGGGAUGGUAUAAAAAGAAACUCACUUUGAGAGACUUAAAUAUUGAAGGCAUCUUAGACUGCUGGCAAAAGCCAUAGCUGAAGAAGCAAGGAGACUAGGAUUAAAAUUCAAGCAUGGUGAACCUCUGCGAGCGUCCAUUCGUCUGAUGCUAAAUAAUUCAUCUUAAUUAGAUUAGUAACCUAAGACUUGAUAUUAUAAGCAAGGGCAAUUUAGGUAGUGAUAAUACUUACAAGAUCUGCUUCAGAUAGAGUUGGUCUAAACAAAGUUUCUUAGAAUACUAAAUUGUUUUUUAAAUUAAAAAAUUCGAUUGCUGGUUGGCAGUUUAAUUCUCUGUGGGGUAUAUGGAAUUUACAUUCAAUAUGAUCCAAAGAUGCAUGAUAAGUAAGUAAAACAUAUAGUGUGUUAGUUGGUGUAAAGUGCUAUGAGGAAAAGUAAUUCAGGGAAGGGGGUGAUAGUAAUUACAGUUUUAAGUAGUAUGAUCACGAAAUGCUUGUUAAGAGUGGUGACAUUUGAGCAAAGCUCCAAAGGACCCUGCAGACAUCUGGGGGAAAGAGUAGUCCCACAGAAGGACCAGCAACUGCUAUGGCUGGUGUGGCUGGAGUGAUUUCAAGGGAGGCUGUUAGGAACGGAAGUCAAAUAGCAUGGGCUAUUGCAAACACUUUGGCUUGUACUUCAGGUGAGGUAGAGAGACAUUGGAGGGUUUUAAGCAGAGAGAUGGCAUGAUUUGACUUGAUGUUUUAAAAAUAUCAGUCUGCAAUAUUAUCAAAGUCAAUUCUUUCCAAAGUUAUUAUUUUUUUUGGAAAUUUAAUAUAGUCACAACUACAGUGCCACCAGGUAAUUUUUUUCAUGGAGUUAAACCUAUGUUCAAUAUACAGUUUAAUUGGGAAAAUUAAAUGUGUUUAAUUUAAAUUUAAAUUAAAUAAAAC
This 11466-nucleotide long non-coding RNA is filed under the name Homo sapiens (human). RNAcentral describes it as "non-protein coding lnc-INPP4B-2:4". The record is from RNAcentral. Lineage: Eukaryota; Metazoa; Chordata; Mammalia; Primates; Hominidae.